Molecule: ribosomal RNA, 255 nt
Filed under: uncultured bacterium
Lineage: Bacteria
Description: partial 16S ribosomal RNA
Rfam family: Bacterial small subunit ribosomal RNA
Source: RNAcentral
UACGUAGGGUGCAAGCGUUAAUCGGAAUUACUGGGCGUAAAGCGUGCGCAGGCGGUUUUGUAAGUCAGAUGUGAAAAUCCCCGGGCUUAACCCUGGGAACUGCGUUUGAAACUACAAGGCUAGAGUGUGACAGAGGGGGUGGAAUUCCACGUGUAGCAGUGAAAUGCGUAGAGAUGUGGAGGAACACCGAUGGCGAAGGCAGCCCCCUGGGGUUAACACUGACGCUCAGGCACGAAAGCGUGGGGAGCAAACAGG